AGGAUGAACGCUAGCGGCAGGCUUAAUACAUGCAAGUCGUGGGGCAGCAGGGGUAGCAAUACCCGCUGGCGACCGGCAAACGGGUGCGGAACACGUACGCAACCUUCCUUCAAGUGGGGGAUAGCCCAGGGAAACUUGGAUUAAUACCCCGUAAUAUUAUGAAAUGGCAUCAUUUUAUAAUUAUAGCUACGGCGCUUGAAGAUGGGCGUGCGGCUGAUUAGGUAGUUGGCGGGGUAACAGCCCACCAAGCCUGCGAUCAGUAACUGGUGUGAGAGCACGACCAGUCACACGGGCACUGAGACACGGGCCCGACUCCUACGGGAGGCAGCAGUAAGGAUAUUGGACAAUGGGCGCAAGCCUGAUCCAGCCAUGCCGCGUGGAUGAUGAAGGCCCUAGGGUUGUAAAGUCCUUUCGACGGGGAAGAUAAUGACGGUACCCGUAGAAGAAGCCCCGGCUAACGUUCGUGCCAGCAGCCGC
This 477-nucleotide ribosomal RNA is filed under the name uncultured bacterium. RNAcentral describes it as "SSU rRNA". It matches the Rfam family "Bacterial small subunit ribosomal RNA", at positions 26 to 518 of the family's 1533-position model. The record is from RNAcentral.